RNAcentral lists this long non-coding RNA (813 nucleotides) under Sinocyclocheilus grahami. RNAcentral describes it as "lncRNA (ENSSGRG00000028549.1)". Lineage: Eukaryota; Metazoa; Chordata; Actinopteri; Cypriniformes; Cyprinidae. The record is from RNAcentral.
GCACUGACCUGUUGCCGGCGGCUAAACAGCACACCUGCCUAAGCAUCAGUCACAGAGUGGGUCAUCAUUAUAACACUGGACGGAUAUGACAGGAGUGAAGCGGGAGUGGAGGAGUGGCUCUCUGAGAGUUUGUUUAUAGUGAAGGAGGCGCGGAAAACACACGCGACUCGCUGCGCAUCUUCACACGACUCACCUCACCGACAUUACGACAGAAACUGGGAUAAAACCAGCAGCUACGAGGAAAACGACGCGGAAAUAACACUCGCACUACGAAGGUGAUGUGACAUAGAAGACAUCCUGUACAGUCAGACUACAGGAAGCUGGAGAUGAGGAUUGGGGGAUUGUGGAGGACUGGGCCAUACAGUCCCCUGCUGCUCUUUCUGCUCCACUCGCUGCUGCCUCUUAUACGGCCCAGUAAUGCUGGAAACCAGAAUAUACCACGACUGCAGCUCUCUCAUACAGAACUGAGGUCGAGGACCAGCUCUGCUGUGUUCUGGGAUGGUGGAGAGGGGGGAGCGUACCAGGCCUUACUGCUUGAUGAGGACCGCGGAUGGCUGCUGGUCGGAGGCCGAGACCACAUCUACAUGCUAAACUCUGACAGCUUCACCCAACCGGCACGCAAGGUCAGCGCGCACAACUACCACCAUCUGACAGCGCAUGAUGUCACUUACCGAUCACGAGGAUAAGGGUCACUAAAGUGAAAACAGGCCAUGACUACAAUGUUUUACUGUUCACAAGAAUCUGUAGAUCUGUAAUGCUGUUUUCAUGGCCUCUCUGAAGUUACAGGAUUGCAGUCUUAAAACUGCUCCACCA